AGAGUUUGAUCCUGGCUCAGGACGAACGCUGGCGGCGCGCCUAACACAUGCAAGUCGAACGAGCGAGAGAGAGCUUGCUUUCUCGAGCGAGUGGCGAACGGGUGAGUAACGCGUGAGGAACCUGCCUCAAAGAGGGGGACAACAGUUGGAAACGACUGCUAAUACCGCAUAAGCCCACAGCUCGGCAUCGAGCAGAGGGAAAAGGAGCAAUCCGCUUUGAGAUGGCCUCGCGUCCGAUUAGCUAGUUGGUGAGGUAACGGCCCACCAAGGCGACGAUCGGUAGCCGGACUGAGAGGUUGAACGGCCACAUUGGGACUGAGACACGGCCCAGACUCCUACGGGAGGCAGCAGUGGGGAAUAUUGCACAAUGGGGGAAACCCUGAUGCAGCGACGCCGCGUGGAGGAAGAAGGUCUUCGGAUUGUAAACUCCUGUUGUUGAGGAAGAUAAUGACGGUACUCAACAAGGAAGUGACGGCUAACUACGUGCCAGCAGCCGCGGUAAAACGUAGGUCACAAGCGUUGUCCGGAAUUACUGGGUGUAAAGGGAGCGCAGGCGGGAAGGCAAGUUGGAAGUGACAUCCAUGGGCUCAACCCAUGAACUGCUUUCAAAACUGUUUUUCUUGAGUAGUGCAGAGGUAGGCGGAAUUCCCGGUGUAGCGGUGGAAUGCGUAGAUAUCGGGAGGAACACCAGUGGCGAAGGCGGCCUACUGGGCACCAACUGACGCUGAGGCUCGAAAGUGUGGGUAGCAAACAGGAUUAGAUACCCUGGUAGUCCACACUGUAAACGAUGAUUACUAGGUGUUGGAGGAUUGACCCCUUCAGUGCCGCAGUUAACACAAUAAGUAAUCCACCUGGGGAGUACGACCGCAAGGUUGAAACUCAAAGGAAUUGACGGGGGCCCGCACAAGCAGUGGAGUAUGUGGUUUAAUUCGACGCAACGCGAAGAACCUUACCAAGUCUUGACAUCCUGCGACGCACAUAGAAAUAUGUGUUUCCUUCGGGACGCAGAGACAGGUGGUGCAUGGUUGUCGUCAGCUCGUGUCGUGAGAUGUUGGGUUAAGUCCCGCAACGAGCGCAACCCUUGUGGUCAGUUACUACGCAAGAGGACUCUGGCCAGACUGCCGUUGACAAAACGGAGGAAGGUGGGGAUGACGUCAAAUCAUCAUGCCCUUUAUGACUUGGGCUACACACGUACUACAAUGGCGUUAAACAAAGAGAAGCGAGACCGCGAGGUGGAGCAAAACUCAGAAACAACGUCCCAGUUCGGACUGCAGGCUGCAACUCGCCUGCACGAAGUCGGAAUUGCUAGUAAUCGCAGAUCAGCAUGCUGCGGUGAAUACGUUCC
This 1345-nucleotide ribosomal RNA is filed under the name uncultured bacterium. Its description in RNAcentral is "bacterial SSU rRNA". It matches the Rfam family "Bacterial small subunit ribosomal RNA", at positions 8 to 1374 of the family's 1533-position model. The record is from RNAcentral.